CUGAUAUUAGCUAAGUGGUUACGCAACAGAAUCGAAAUCUGUUUGGACUGCGCAGGUUCGAAACUUGCCGAUCAAC
This is a non-coding RNA of Suillus subalutaceus, 76 nucleotides long. Lineage: Eukaryota; Fungi; Basidiomycota; Agaricomycetes; Boletales; Suillaceae. The record is from the annotation of a RefSeq genome assembly.